RNAcentral lists this transfer RNA (67 nucleotides) under Pteronarcella badia. RNAcentral describes it as "tRNA-Phe". Lineage: Eukaryota; Metazoa; Arthropoda; Insecta; Plecoptera; Pteronarcyidae. The record is from RNAcentral.
AUUCGAAUAGCUUAUAGAUUAGAGCAUGACAUUGAAAGUGUUAGAGAGGUUUUAGGACCUUUGAAUA